CAAAGCCACAAUGCCACUGGAUUUUUGCCAAAAGAACAAAGGUAAUGAGUAUUGUUGUCUUCCUUUAGAAGAAAUGAAUUUGCACUAAUGAAUUUAUACCGGUUCAUCUCUGCAGGGCCAGUGUAUAUUCAUAAUCCUGAAAGAUGGCUGCCUGGGCCAUGAGAACACAAAUCAGAUCACUGAACAGAGAAAAGUACCUUCGAGAUUCAAUCUCUUCUAAAAUCCACUGAGUUUUUUCAUCUACUGAGAAGUUUCCACUUGUGGAUGUCUCAUCUUUGCCUGUUAAUAAAUAAAAUUGACUUCAUACUACAAAUUCUCAAAAGAAAAAAGUAAAAUGCUUUGAAAAUAAAGGUAAUAUCAUGGAUGUAUAAACAUAUGCAUAUGUAAAUACAUAAAUAUGCUUAAAUUUUGCAAUUAAUUAUGCAAUGACAUUUCAAUGUUAACUCUUUAUUGCAAUAUUAACAGGCAUGAGGUUCAUUAGCCUAAAAAUGUACUUUGGCUGGUGUACUUUUGCUGUUGUUGAGAACAGCAACAAAGUUCUACCACAAAGUUUCGUUUUCUCAUAUUCUUUUCCAGUAGUUUCUACCAGUUUUUUUCCAUAGCCAAAUGCAAGAAAUAUUGGCUUUGCCAAUACAGGAGUCCCCCCUAAUCUGCAGGGGACACCUUCUAAGAACCCCAGUCGAUGCCUGAAACUGCAUAUAGCACCAAACCCUAUUUGUUUUUUCCUCUAUAUACACACCUAUGAUAAAGUUUAAUUUAUAAAUUAGGCACUGUAAGAGACUAACAAUAGCAAUAAAGUAGAACAAUGAAAAUAAUAUAUUGUAAGUUAUACGAAUGUUGGGUAUCUCUCUCUCAAAAUAUCUUAUUGUACUGUACUUAUUCAUUUUUGGACCAUUGUUGACUGAAACUGUGGAAAGCAAAACUGCAGAUUAGAGGGAUUACUGUAUUCUAUUCAUAUUAUUUCUUAUUUUAAUACGUAAUACCAUUAUUUAUGAUCCACUAAGGGUUGUGUGUUUCACUGAAAGUCACUUUGCCUUUGCAUUUACUAGCUACUUGGUUAUGGUCUUUCACUAUCUCCUGAUAGCACCUUAAUCAAAGGAAGAUAUCUCUGAAAGUACAAAAUCAAUGCGAAAAAAAAAAGAGGAGGCAUCCGUAUUUUAUAUAAUGAGAUCUUAAAAUCUGUAUUGAAACUCACCAGAACCAAUCUGUAAAAGGGCUCUGAAACUAUGAAGUUAGACUUCUGACAGAGCCUCCAGAAUUAUGUGAACUUGUCUCAAAACAUUCUCUAAAUGGCUAUGUACAUAUUCUGUCUGAAAUAGUAAAUAACUGGAAGUC
This 1335-nucleotide long non-coding RNA is filed under the name Homo sapiens (human). Its description in RNAcentral is "HSALNT0303708". The record is from RNAcentral. Lineage: Eukaryota; Metazoa; Chordata; Mammalia; Primates; Hominidae.